Molecule: ribosomal RNA, 131 nt
Filed under: Mycteria americana (wood stork)
Lineage: Eukaryota; Metazoa; Chordata; Aves; Ciconiiformes; Ciconiidae
Description: partial 16S ribosomal RNA
Source: RNAcentral
UAUGUUAGACUUUUCCCAGUACGAAAGGACCGGAGAAGUAAGGCCAAUGCCACAAGCACGCCUCCCCUCUAAGUAAUGAACCCAACUAAACUACCAAGAGGGCCCCACCCCCACGCCCUAGAAAAGGGCCG